This 282-nucleotide ribosomal RNA is filed under the name uncultured prokaryote. RNAcentral describes it as "partial 16S ribosomal RNA". It matches the Rfam family "Bacterial small subunit ribosomal RNA", at positions 524 to 805 of the family's 1533-position model. The record is from RNAcentral.
UACGUAGGGGCUAGCGUUAUCCGGAAUUACUGGGCGUAAAGGGUGCGUAGGUGGUUUCUUAAGUCAGAGGUGAAAGGCUACGGCUCAACCGUAGUAAGCCUUUGAAACUGGGAAACUCGAGUGCAGGAGAGGAGAGUGGAAUUCCUAGUGUAGCGGUGAAAUGCGUAGAUAUCAGGAAGAACACCAGUGGCGAAGGCGGCUUUCUAGGCCGUUACUGACGCUGAGGCGCGAAAGCUAGGGGAGCGAACAGGAUUAGAUACCCGCGUAGUCCCUGAGCGGGCU